RNAcentral lists this ribosomal RNA (709 nucleotides) under uncultured Pseudomonadaceae bacterium. Its description in RNAcentral is "bacterial SSU rRNA". It matches the Rfam family "Bacterial small subunit ribosomal RNA", at positions 28 to 734 of the family's 1533-position model. The record is from RNAcentral. Lineage: Bacteria; Pseudomonadati; Pseudomonadota; Gammaproteobacteria; Pseudomonadales; Pseudomonadaceae.
AUUGAACGCUGGCGGCAGGCCUAACACAUGCAAGUCGAGCGGAUGAGAGGAGCUUGCUCCUGGAUUCAGCGGCGGACGGGUGAGUAAUGCCUAGGAAUCUGCCUGGUAGUGGGGGACAACGUUUCGAAAGGAACGCUAAUACCGCAUACGUCCUACGGGAGAAAGCAGGGGACCUUCGGGCCUUGCGCUAUCAGAUGAGCCUAGGUCGGAUUAGCUAGUUGGUGAGGUAAUGGCUCACCAAGGCGACGAUCCGUAACUGGUCUGAGAGGAUGAUCAGUCACACUGGAACUGAGACACGGUCCAGACUCCUACGGGAGGCAGCAGUGGGGAAUAUUGGACAAUGGGCGAAAGCCUGAUCCAGCCAUGCCGCGUGUGUGAAGAAGGUCUUCGGAUUGUAAAGCACUUUAAGUUGGGAGGAAGGGUUGUAGAUUAAUACUCUGCAAUUUUGACGUUACCGACAGAAUAAGCACCGGCUAACUCUGUGCCAGCAGCCGCGGUAAUACAGAGGGUGCAAGCGUUAAUCGGAAUUACUGGGCGUAAAGCGCGCGUAGGUGGUUUGUUAAAGUUGGAUGUGAAAUCCCCGGGCUCAACCUGGGAACUGCAUCCAAAACUGGGCUGCUAGUGUAUGGGGAGGGUGGUGGUUUUUUUCUUUUGAAUCGUUUAUUCACUAUAAAGCCAUCGUAAGUCCCAAGCUCUAAUGUCAUUGUUU